This 444-nucleotide ribosomal RNA is filed under the name uncultured bacterium. Its description in RNAcentral is "bacterial SSU rRNA". It matches the Rfam family "Bacterial small subunit ribosomal RNA", at positions 31 to 452 of the family's 1533-position model. The record is from RNAcentral.
GUAGAACGCUAGCUACAGGCUUAACACAUGCAAGUUGAACGAGAGGUUCCGGAACAAGUCUUCGGACAAGGGAAGGGACGGGAAGUAGCGAACGGGUGAGUAACGCGUGGGCAACCAACCUUACACAGGGGGAUAACGCAGAGAAAUUUGCGCUAAUACCGCAUAAGCGCACAGGAUCACAUGAUCUGGUGUGAAAAACUCCGGUGGUGUAAGACGGGCCCGCGUCUGAUUAGCUAGUUGGUCAGGUAAAGGCUCACCAAGGCGACGAUCAGUAGCCGACCUGAGAGGGUGAUCGGCCACAUUGGGACUGAGACACGGCCCAAACUCCUACGGUGAGGCAGCAGUGGGGGAUAUUGCACUAAUGGAGGGAACUCUUGAUGCAGCAAUGCCGCGUGAAGGAAGAAGGUUUUCGGAUUGUAAACUUCUAUCAGCAGGGAAGAAAAU